This 486-nucleotide ribosomal RNA is filed under the name uncultured bacterium. Its description in RNAcentral is "partial 16S ribosomal RNA". It matches the Rfam family "Bacterial small subunit ribosomal RNA", at positions 29 to 507 of the family's 1533-position model. The record is from RNAcentral.
AUUGAACGCUGGCGGCAUGCCUUACACAUGCAAGUCGAACGGCAGCACGGGUGCUUGCACCUGGUGGCGAGUGGCGAACGGGUGAGUAAUACAUCGGCACAUGUCCUGAAGUGGGGGAUAGCCCGGCGAAAGCCGGACUAAUACCGCAAACGAUCAACGGCUGAAAGCGGGGGACCUUCGGGCCUCGCGCUAUAGGGUUGGCCGAUGGCUGAUUAGCUAGUUGGUGGGGUAAAGGCCUACCAAGGCGACGAUCAGUAGCUGGUCUGAGAGGACGACCAGCCACACUGGAACUGAGACACGGCCCAGACUCCUACGGGAGGCAGCAGUGGGGAAUAUUGGACAAUGGGCGCAAGCCUGAUCCAGCAAUGCCGCGUGUGUGAAGAAGGCCUUCGGGUUGUAAAGCACUUUUGUCCGGAAAGAAAUGCUUGGCUCUAAUACAGUCGGGGGAUGACGGUACCGGAAGAAUAAGCACCGGCUAACUACGUG